RNAcentral lists this long non-coding RNA (594 nucleotides) under Mus pahari (shrew mouse). RNAcentral describes it as "lncRNA (MGP_PahariEiJ_G0002939.1)". The record is from RNAcentral. Lineage: Eukaryota; Metazoa; Chordata; Mammalia; Rodentia; Muridae.
GUGCUCUGCUGGUCUGAGGACACAGAGCUGAAUCUGGGAAUCCCUGCACACUCCCAGAGACCAGGGCCAAAGACGGCACUCAAGGCUGGAGAGACUGUAGAAGACCUAGUAGAUCUCUUUAUUCAGAAUGUGGGGGAUGUUGAGAGUGAGGUGUUGUUUGUUCUUAGGAAUAUCCAGGAAUUAAGUAGGAAUUAUCCAGGUGUGUCUUAGUUAGGGUUACUAUUGCUUUGAAACAUCAUGACAUCUUGUGGCAGAAAGGGUUUAUUUCAGCUUAUUCUUGCAGGCCCAUCACUGAAGAAGUCCAGGCAGGAACUGAUUGACACAUCUCCUCUAACAUCUCCUAAUCCUUUCCAAACAGUUAUUCCAGCUGUGAUCAGGUACUAAAACCUAUCUAUGAACCUGUGGGGGGCCAUUCUCAUCCAAACCACCAUAGUAAAAGAUUGGGCCUUCCUUCUGAAGGCAACGAAAGAAUCUUACAGGUGCUUUAAAACAAUGUCUUAAGGUGGUAGUUGCAAAAUUAAAAGCAAUUAAAAAAAUCAUCAGACACUGAACUGUCACUCAAAAUAAACAUAUAGCUGUGCAAAGGACUCCAAG